CCAGACAAUUCCAAAACAGGAGGUGACAAUCCACCAGGACGUGGCAGCCUCAGAAGCUCCCUUCCUUACCUCCCAAGAGUUAACUGAUGCCCACCAAGUCAGCUUGAAGCAGUUCUCAGGAGACACAGCACCCCUAUUCCUGUUCACCCGCCUUUAAAAAAAAAAUAAUAAACAAAGAGUCUGGAAUGUUGG
This is a non-coding RNA of Peromyscus maniculatus bairdii (prairie deer mouse), 192 nucleotides long. The record is from RefSeq and is a predicted model, not a curated record. Lineage: Eukaryota; Metazoa; Chordata; Mammalia; Rodentia; Cricetidae.